AACUAACGCUGGCGGCGCGUCUUAAACAUGCAAGUCAAACGGAUGUAGCAAUACAUUAGUGGCGAACGGGUGAGUAACACGUGGGUAAUCAACCUUCAAGUCUGGGAUAACCUGUCGAAAGGCAGGCUAAUACGGGAUAGCCUCAGGACCUCUUAAGAGGAUCUGAGUAAAGGAGCAAUUCGCUUGAAGACGAGCCCGCGGCUGAUUAGCUUGUUGGUGAGGUAACGGCNCACCAAGGCGACGAUCAGUAGCCGGCCUGAGAGGGUGUCCGGCCACAUUGGGAC
Molecule: ribosomal RNA, 284 nt
Filed under: uncultured bacterium
Lineage: Bacteria
Description: partial 16S ribosomal RNA
Rfam family: Bacterial small subunit ribosomal RNA
Source: RNAcentral